RNAcentral lists this ribosomal RNA (881 nucleotides) under Xylariaceae sp. RNAcentral describes it as "partial large subunit ribosomal RNA". It matches the Rfam family "Eukaryotic large subunit ribosomal RNA", at positions 39 to 946 of the family's 3401-position model. The record is from RNAcentral. Lineage: Eukaryota; Fungi; Ascomycota; Sordariomycetes; Xylariales; Xylariaceae.
CAUAUCAAUAAGCGGAGGAAAAGAAACCAACAGGGAUUGCCCUAGUAACGGCGAGUGAAGCGGCAACAGCUCAAAUUUGAAAUCUGGCCCUCGGGUCCGAGUUGUAAUUUGUAGAGGAUGCUUUUGGCGCGGUGCCUUCCGAGUUCCCUGGAACGGGACGCCUUAGAGGGUGAGAGCCCCGUACGGUUGGACACCAAGCCUCUGUAAAGCUCCUUCGACGAGUCGAGUAGUUUGGGAAUGCUGCUCUAAAUGGGAGGUAAAUUUCUUCUAAAGCUAAAUACCGGCCAGAGACCGAUAGCGCACAAGUAGAGUGAUCGAAAGAUGAAAAGCACUUUGAAAAGAGGGUUAAAUAGCACGUGAAAUUGUUGAAAGGGAAGCGUUUGCGACCAGACCUCUUCCCAGCGGAUCAUCCGGUGUUCUCACCGGUGCACUUCGCUGGGUUUAGGCCAGCAUCGGUUUCCGCCGGGGGAUAAAAGUUAGGGGAACGUAGCUCCCUCGUGGAGUGUUAUAGCCCCUUUCAUAAUACCCCGUCGGGGACCGAGGACCGCGCUUCGGCAAGGAUGCUGGCAUAAUGGUCGUCAACGACCCGUCUUGAAACACGGACCAAGGAGUCGAACAUUUGUGCGAGUGUUUGGGUGUUAAACCCUCACGCGUAAUGAAGGUGAACGUAGGUGAGAGCCCUUGCGGGCGCAUCAUCGACCGAUCCUGAUGUCUUCGGAUGGAUUUGAGUAAGAGCAUAACUGUUCGGACCCGAAAGAUGGUGAACUAUGCGUGGAUAGGGUGAAGCCAGAGGAAACUCUGGUGGAGGCUCGCAGCGGUUCUGACGUGCAAAUCGAUCGUCAAAUCUGCGCAUGGGGGCGAAAGACUUAUCGAACCAUCUA